CAAUAGCGUAUAUUAAAGUUGUUGCAGUUAAAAAGCUCGUAGUUGGAUUUCUGGUAGGAGCGACCGUGCCGAACUUGAUUGUUCGAGUAUUGUGUUGUCUUCAGCCAUCCUCGUGGAGAACUUUUCUAACAUUAACUUGUUGGGAUUGGGACCCGCGUCGUUUACUGUGAAAAAAUUAGAGUGUUUAUAGCAGGCAUUAGCUUGAAUACAUUAGCAUGGAAUAAUAAGAUAGGACUUUGGUACUAUUUUGUUGGUUUGCAUACCAAAUUAAUGAUCAACAGGAACAGUUUGAGGAUAUUCGUAUGAACAUGUCAGAGGUGAAAUUCUUGGAUUUUGAUCAGACGAACUACUGCGAAAGCAUUUAUCAAGGAUGUUUUCAUUAA
This 383-nucleotide ribosomal RNA is filed under the name uncultured eukaryote. Its description in RNAcentral is "partial 18S ribosomal RNA". It matches the Rfam family "Eukaryotic small subunit ribosomal RNA", at positions 592 to 976 of the family's 1831-position model. The record is from RNAcentral.